RNAcentral lists this ribosomal RNA (510 nucleotides) under Metilia sp. MN534. RNAcentral's name for it is "partial 16S ribosomal RNA". The stretch from base 384 to 510 matches the Rfam family "Bacterial large subunit ribosomal RNA", at positions 2473 to 2600 of the family's 2925-position model. The record is from RNAcentral. Lineage: Eukaryota; Metazoa; Arthropoda; Insecta; Mantodea; Acanthopidae.
GGUUUCUUGAAAGAAUAAGAGAUUUAACCUGCCCACUAGAAUUAUAAUUAAAUGGCCGCAGUAAAAUGACUGUGCAAAGGUAGCAUAAUCAUUAGUUUUUUAAUUGAAAACUAGAAUGAAUGGUUGAACGAGGUAAAUACUGUUUCAUAAAAAUGAAUUGAAUUUUUAAAUUAAGUAAAAAGACUUAAAUAUAUUUAAGGGACGAGAAGACCCUAUAGAGUUUAAUAGUUUUAUUUUAAAUUAAGUUAAUAAAAAAUUUUUGGUUAAAAAGAUAUUUAUUUGAUUGGGGAGAUAAAAGAAUAAUAAAAACUUUUUUUUUAGGUAAAUUAUAUGAAAAGAUGAUUGAUCUGUAAUUAAUGAUAGGAAGAUUAAAUUACCUUAGGGAUAACAGCAUAAUUUUUUUUAAAAGUUCAUAUUGAAAGGAGAGAUUAUGACCUCGAUGUUGGAUUAAGAUGAAAUUUGGGUGUAGAUGUUCAAAAUUUAGGUCUGUUCGACCUUUAAAAUCUUACA